This is a long non-coding RNA of Chinchilla lanigera (long-tailed chinchilla), 365 nucleotides long. RefSeq lists it as uncharacterized. The record is from RefSeq and is a predicted model, not a curated record. The transcript is spliced from 3 exons. Lineage: Eukaryota; Metazoa; Chordata; Mammalia; Rodentia; Chinchillidae.
GUCUGCACUGUCUCCAGCUCACCAUCCUCAUGUCAGUUACAUGAGACGGAAAUUAGACUGGAAUUUUGACAACCGCUUACAAGUAUAUGUGCACAACAGUAGGAUAUUGCCCAAGUAAGAAGAUGGAUAAAGCUUUUAAUCUUUCCAAAUUUGAAUCAAGUAAUGAAGCUGCCUUCAAAGCAAAGAAGUGGACUCCAGGAAAAGCACUGAUAGAGACAGCUCAAAAUGAUUGCUACACACUGGAGGAUCUGUCUACAUCCCAGAUGCGUCCCUCUGUGACAAGUCCUGAACCUGGCCAUAGAUGACUGCUUAAGGUUGAUAUUUAAGCCAAAAUGGGCCAAUUUCAUUACUUCUUACAUAUUAAA